Nycticebus coucang (slow loris) is the source of this 549-nucleotide long non-coding RNA. RefSeq lists it as uncharacterized. NCBI's taxonomy places the organism in Eukaryota, Metazoa, Chordata, Mammalia, Primates, Lorisidae. The transcript is spliced from 2 exons. The record is from RefSeq and is a predicted model, not a curated record.
GCGCAGGGGCUUUUUUUCCUUGCCUUUUUUUUUUUUUCUCUCCCACCCCCUUCUCUCUGCUGAUCCCCGCGACCUGCGUUUUCCUGGGGGUCCAGAACUCUGGACCCAAGGCACCAGCCAGCCACUCAGGAGGGCUCCUCUCUCAUUAGAGAACCCCUUAUGCCCACGUCCACUCAUAAGCAGAUGGCCUCCCCCCAACCAGGAGGAUUCUUAAUGGGGUGAAAAUGCCAGUCCCCGAAGCCAGGGUUCCUGGACCCCCAGGGCCGAGCUGGGCGUGGGAGCCCCUCAGGGGUGGGGAGGCCGGCCGAGCUUGAAGAAGUGGAGGAGAGAUCUACACAACGUUAGUGGGGCAUCUCCAUUCCACCUUCCUGCUCUUCCUCCUUUGCCCCCAACUCCAUCUCUGCGACACCCUUUCCCCCCCCAAAAGAAGUCACUCCCAGGCUCUAGCUACAGAGAGCCAGGGUGAGAGCGGGCAAGGCGAGAGAGCGACCUCGGUCGUGGGCAAGUAGCUUGUUUUUACGUCCUUCAAUAAAAUUUUUAUGAGGAUCA